This 439-nucleotide ribosomal RNA is filed under the name uncultured bacterium. RNAcentral's name for it is "bacterial SSU rRNA". It matches the Rfam family "Bacterial small subunit ribosomal RNA", at positions 954 to 1392 of the family's 1533-position model. The record is from RNAcentral.
GCUUAACGCGAAGAACCUUACCUACCCUUGACAUGCCAGGAACUUGCCAGAGAUGGCUUGGUGCCCGAAAGGGAGCCUGGACACAGGUGCUGCAUGGCUGUCGUCAGCUCGUGUCGUGAGAUGUUGGGUUAAGUCCCGCAACGAGCGCAACCCUUGUCGUUAAUUGCCAUCAUUUGGUUGGGCACUUUAACGAGACCGCCGGUGACAAACCGGAGGAAGGUGGGGAUGACGUCAAGUCCUCAUGGCCCUUAUGGGUAGGGCUUCACACGUCAUACAAUGGUCGGUACAGAGGGUUGCCAAGCCGCGAGGCGGAGCCAAUCCCAGAAAGCCGAUCGUAGUCCGGAUUGCAGGCUGCAACUCGCCUGCAUGAAGUCAGAAUCGCUAGUAAUCGCGGAUCAGCAUGUCGCGGUGAAUACGUUCCCGGGUCUUGUACACACCG